RNAcentral lists this ribosomal RNA (459 nucleotides) under uncultured bacterium. Its description in RNAcentral is "partial 16S ribosomal RNA". It matches the Rfam family "Bacterial small subunit ribosomal RNA", at positions 338 to 795 of the family's 1533-position model. The record is from RNAcentral.
CCUACGGGAGGCAGCAGUGAGGAAUAUUGGUCAAUGGCCGGAAGGCUGAACCAGCCAAGCCGCGUGAAGGACGAAGGUGCCAAGCAUUGUAAACUUCUUUUGUCAAGGGACAAAAUCAGGCUCGAGAGCCUGACCGAGGGUACUUGAAGAAAAAGCAUCGGCUAACUCCGUGCCAGCAGCCGCGGUAAUACGGAGGAUGCUAGGGUUAUCCGGUUUUAUUGGGGUUAAAGGGGGCGUAGGUGGAUUGUUAAGUCAGCGGGAAAAGCCGGGGGCUCAACCCCGGCGAGCCGGUGAAACUGGCUGUCUUGAGAUGUCGAGAGGUAUGCGGAAUGCGCAGUGUAGCGGUGAAAUGCUUAGAUAUUGCGAAGAACUCCGAUUGCGAAGGCAGCACACCGGCGGCGAUCUGACGCUGAGGCACGAAAGCGUGGGUAUCGAACAGGAUUAGAUACCCGAGUAGUC